AAUUAACUGUCUAAAUACACAAUAUUUUUUGCAUCAUUGUUAUAGUAUUGUCUAUUCUUUCCUCUCGUCAUUAUUGCAGUCAUAUUGUUGAGUGUCAGUCAAUGAUGGGCUACUGCAUUGAACUAGACAACUACUUAAUCCAAAAUGUUUGUUUUCUGUGAUGAUAAACAUCUACCUAGUCAGUGGUUACUCAUCAAUAAUCAUCCCUGUUAUUUUGUACUAUUACUACUAGAAAGUAGAGGAGAGCCAUCCCAGUCCGAGUGAUAUUCAAGAGCCAGAUCAGAGAGACCCAACAUCCGUCCAGUCCAGCCCAGUCCAGGUCCAUGAAGAACCAAGAGGUGAUUGUCCUCCUUGUAAAAAGAGGAAAAGUACAGCACUGGACCAGCUGUUUGGAGAAACAUAUGUGGUAAGACCAUCAAGAAGCUCCAGGGAGAAGGUCAGCGAGGAAAUCCUGAGGUACAGAGAGAGAAACCUUUUGCCCCUGAAUGGCAAUCCACUGGAGUGGUGGAGAGCACAGGUGGACUUACCAUUGUUGUCAGAUAUUGCAAAAAGAUACCUCUGCAUACCAGCUACAAGUGUAGCAUCAGAAAGAGUUUUCAGUACCGCAGGAGAUAUUGUUUCCUCUCAACGCAGUGUACUUAGGGGUGACCAUGCCGAUCAAUUGAUUUUUCUCAAGAAGAAUCUUAAAAAACUCGAGCACAAAUGAAUUAUUAGGAGGUAGCUAAAGGAUAUCAGCAUACACUAAAUGUCCUACAAGAACAUACAUCUAACUAAAAGAGGAAACUGAAUCUAAAAAAAAGGGAUUGUAUUAGUUCUACUUAUAUAUUUUUUUUUUCUCCUUAUGCUGUGUUUGGCAGCAAUUUGUGCCAUUACAUUAAAGUAAUAAUCUAGGCCAGGAUGGCGGUUUUGGUUUAAACAAAAUUAGAUAUUUCCUAUUGCUGCUUCUUACAGUUCACAGCUUUACUUUGUGUUUGCAGUGAUAUUUCCUAGCUUCUUACAGUUCGCAGCUCUAUUUGUGUUCUCAGUGAAAGGUUGCACAUGUAUUAAUUGGUAUAAUGAUACCUUAUCUUGAGUCUGUCUGAUUUGCAGAGGCACUUAAUUUGCAGAAGCAUUUAUUCUAAAUAUGAGAAAAGGCCAAGGUCUAGCUCUGUUUUAUUUUAUUUUUGUAUUGUCAUCCAUCAACAAGAGACUUCUUUGGGUAUAGAAAAUAUAUUUUAUUUUACUAUUUUAUUUAAUAUUUAAAUAUAAUUUUUUUGUAUUUCCUUAUGGUGUAUUAAUUUGGCUGCAAUGUGUGCCAUUACUGGAAUGUAUUUUUUUUUUGUAUAUGUGAGACAAACUACAUACAGACUAAUUUCACAAUAAAAUGUUUGUUCAUAUUCAUUGAACAAAUGAAAAGAACUUUCAGAAUAUUUUCCAUUAUUGAACUGCAUCGAAUCGCAUCGCAUCGCACUGAAUCGUUUUUUAACAACAUGCAUCUUUUCUUAUAUCGUAUCGUGACCAUGUAUCGAGAUACGAAUCGGAUCGUUUUUUCAUGAGAGAUUUACACCCCAUAUAUAUAUAUAUAUAUAUAUAUAUAUUGUGUAUUUUGGGUGACCUUGGGUGUAAUGAAAGGCGCCUCUAAAUUAAAUGGAUUAUUAUUAUUAU
Molecule: long non-coding RNA, 1644 nt
Organism: Gadus morhua (Atlantic cod)
Lineage: Eukaryota; Metazoa; Chordata; Actinopteri; Gadiformes; Gadidae
Source: Ensembl